GACGAACGCUGGCGGCGUGCUUAACACAUGCAAGUCGAACGGCAACGCCCUGCUUUUGUGGUGUUCUCGAGUGGCGAACGGGGGAGUAACACGUGAGUAACCUGCCCUUGACUUUGGGAUAACUUCAGGAAACUGGGGCUACUACCGUAUCGGAUCCCCUGCUGCAUGGUGGGGGUUGGAAAGUUGCGGCGGGUGGGGAUGGACGCGCGGCUGAUCAGCUUGUUGGUGGGGUAGUGGCUUACCCAGGCUUUGACGGGUAGGCGGCAUGGGAGGGUGACCGGCCACCAUGGGACUGAGAUACGGCCCAGACUCCUACGGGAGGCAGCAGUGGGGAGUAUUGCACAAUGGGCGGAAGCCUGAUGAAGCAACGCCGCGUGCGGGAUGACGGCCUUCGGGUUGUAAACCGCUUUCGCCUGUGACGAAGCGUGAGUGACGGUAAUGGGUAAAGAAGCACCGGCUAACUACGUG
RNAcentral lists this ribosomal RNA (468 nucleotides) under uncultured bacterium. RNAcentral describes it as "partial 16S ribosomal RNA". It matches the Rfam family "Bacterial small subunit ribosomal RNA", at positions 28 to 507 of the family's 1533-position model. The record is from RNAcentral.